RNAcentral lists this ribosomal RNA (283 nucleotides) under Halobacillus karajensis. Its description in RNAcentral is "16S rRNA. Bacterial SSU". It matches the Rfam family "Bacterial small subunit ribosomal RNA", at positions 1 to 257 of the family's 1533-position model. The record is from RNAcentral. Lineage: Bacteria; Bacillati; Bacillota; Bacilli; Caryophanales; Bacillaceae.
CUUUUAUGGAGAGUUUGAUCCUGGCUCAGGACGAACGCUGGCGGCGUGCCUAAUACAUGCAAGUCGAGCGCGGGAAGCGAGCGGAUCCCUUCGGGGUGAAGCUCGUGGAACGAGCGGCGGACGGGUGAGUAACACGUGGGCAACCUGCCUGUAAGACCGGAAUAACCCCGGGAAACCGGGGCUAAUGCCGGGUAAUACUUUUCUUCGCAUGAAGGAAAGUUGAAAGAUGGCUUCUUGCUAUCACUUACAGAUGGGCCCGCGGCGCAUUAGCUAGUUGGUGAGG